RNAcentral lists this long non-coding RNA (2606 nucleotides) under Nicotiana benthamiana. RNAcentral describes it as "long non-coding RNA (NBEN_LNC026919)". The record is from RNAcentral. Lineage: Eukaryota; Viridiplantae; Streptophyta; Magnoliopsida; Solanales; Solanaceae.
CAACAAUUGAGCCAGUGGAUAAUGAACAUUUGCUAAACCAAAUGAUAUUCCAGGGCAAAUCCUCCUCCCGCUACCAAAUGGAAGAUAUUCAUAAUUAUUACUAAUAUAAUCCAUAGAAUUGUGCUCAAAUCUCUCAGGUUUAAAGCUUUCUGCGUCAUCCCAAUAUUUUGGAUCUCUUCCUAUAGCCCAAACAAUAUAAUCCACAGACGUGUGCUCAAAUCUCUCAGGUUGAAAGCUUUCUGCGUCCUCCCAAUAUUUUGGAUCUCUUCCAAUAGCCCAAGCAUUAACAACGAUUUUUGUUUUCAAAGGAAUAGUGUAGCCAUUUAAGUCUGUUUCUUCUCUGCAUUCUCUUGGGAGCAAAAGAGGUAGUGGAGGGUGGAGUCUCAAAGUUUCUUUAAUGACUAACUUUAGGUAUUUGAACUCCUCCACAUCAAUUUCACCAAAAGUUUGUUUCUCUCUAAUGAUUUCUCUUACCUCUGCUUGAGCUUUGGCAAAUACACUUGGAUUCUUCAUCAUUUCGACCAUAGCCCAAUUAAUUGUUGUUGAUGAAGUUUCUGUUCCCGCAGCAAACAAGUCCUUCAUUUUGAGAAAGUUAAAAUAUUCAUUUAUCUUACACAUGCUAUUUGUUUUGUACAAACUUGUUGACAAAUUUCUACUGUUAAAAUAUUCAAAAAAUAGAAUAGAAGGAGUACUUAUAAUGAAGAUAGAAAUAUGCAGUAUAUAGUACUUACAAAAACAAUAGCUUUGAUGUUGUCGUUAGUGAUUGGAAAUUGAAGGCCUCCUUCCUUCAUUAAUUUUUACUGUUAAAAUAGAAUACAAGGAGUACUAAUAACGAAGAUAGAAAUAUGCAGUAUUUUGUACUUACAAAAACAAUAGCUUUGAUGUUGUCGUUAGUGAUUGGAAAUUGAAGGCCUCCUUCCUUCAUAAGUCUUAGCAGUACGUCAAUUAUACCUUCACCAGCUGAUUGACAAUUAUUCUUUGAACUCUUCUUGUGCUCAUUGAUGAUAGUUUCAAGAAUGGCAUCUAAUUCAUGGUGUGUAUCCAUCACUUUAGCCUUCAUUCCAGUAAGCACAUGAAGAAACUUCAAUGAAGGGAAUAUGUCAGCUACCUCAAACCCUUCCAUUAAGCUUGACGCUUUUUUGACUAGUUGUACAAAUUUAUCUUGCUCCUUUUCUUGUCCAAAGGCUGAUCUACAUGUCAUAGAGCUUGUGAAUAGAGCAAUCCUUUUUGUUACAUUAAUCGGCUUACCAGGGGAUGAUCGAAAAAAUUCAAUCAUUCGAUGAACUUCAUCUCGUCUAAUUGAGCUGAAAGACUUGACGUUUUUGGCACUGAGCAAUUCCAAGAUACAAAUUUUACGCAUUUGUCUCCAGUAAUUGCCAUAGGGAGAAAAGACAAUGUCCGUCCCAUUAUAAAAAAAACUCUUGGCAUUUACAAGUAAAGGCCUAGAUGCAAAAGCGAGGUCAUGAGUUUUUAGUACUUCUUUUGCCAUCUCAGCAGAAGAAACUACAACUAAAGACAUUUCUCCUAGUUGAAGAUGCAUAAGGGGACCAUAUUUUCUGGCUAAAUUUCUUAGGACAUGGUGCGGAAUUCCACCUAGCAUAUGAAACAUGCUACCAAGUAAGGGUAAUUUCCAUGGACCUGGAGGUAAUCUCUUGGUUUGGCUACUGGCAUUCUUCCAUUUCUUAAAUAAAAAGAGGAAUGACACAAAAAUGAAAAGGGAAAAGAAGUUGAAGAACUGCAUUUUGGGAGGGUUAAGAGGGGAUUAUUUGGCUUGAUAGGUUCUGCAAACUCUUGUUGCAAAUACAUGCUCUUUUAUAGGCAUUUCGUUUUGGCAAGAAAUGUGAUUUUUCGUUAAAAAAAUGAGAUAUGCAAUUUUUGUCAAUGAAGCUUUUAGUAAGCAAUGAAGCAUUACAAACAACACUAUCAACAGUUACAAAGGGUUUUUUAGCAACUAUUGACUUUUCUGCAUAUACAAAUAAUAUUGCGCGGAUUAUUUUCUUUUCAAACGAAUAUAAGGCAAAAAUACGUAAAUCAUAUCAUGUCAUAUUAUAUCAUAUUAUACUAAAAUUAGGAAGCUUAUAUCAUCAAAUCAUAUUAUACUUAAAGUAGGAAGCUCAUAUCAUCAAAGUUAGUUUAUAAUAUUUGGAAUCCAAAAGCCACUUCUUGAAUUCUCUUAAUUGCACCUCCUCCUUUUCAUUUUCUUUCUCCAAAUUUUCCCAUUAUUUCUCCUCUUUUUCUUUUCCUUUGUAUGAAUUAUGUUUCCCAAUAAUCGUUAUUCUUUAAAUUUCGUUCAUGCAGCUCUGUCAUUUACUUUAUGUUAGUUUACUUCUUUUGCAAUAGUUUUGACUCACAUUUUUAACGUUGGAUGUAUUCUUUAUUGUUAUUAUGUUAUUUGUAUUGUUGAAAUUGUAAUUUUUUUUAUUGUAUAUUGUACAGUCAAAAUUCUUGCUCAAAAUUCCUUCCAUUCUGUUAUGAAGAGAAAAUAGGAAGAAACCUAAGCAGAAAAGAGGAAGAGUAGAUGAAUGAUGCUGGAGAGCAAUGAAUAAGGCUAAUUUUCAGCGACGAGGAGGAUUUUCCACCACCACAGUCCUAAAGCUUAAUUUUCA